CCAUGGAGCUUUACUGUAGCUUGACAUUGGGUCUUGGUACUACAUGUACAGGAUAGGUGGGAGGCUUUGAAACCAGGACGCCAGUUUUGGCGGAGCCAUCCUUGGGAUACCACCCUUGUAGUACUGGGACUCUAACCAUAGGCCAUGAAUCUGGUCUUGGGACACUGUCAGGUGGGCAGUUUGACUGGGGCGGUCGCCUCCCAAAAGGUAACGGAGGCGCUCAAAGGUUCUCUCAGUACGGUCGGAAAUCGUACGUAGAGUGUAAAGGCAAAAGAGAGCUUGAUUGCAAGACAUACAGGUCGAGCAAGGAUGAAAAUCGGACUUAGUGAUCCGGUGGUUCUGCGUGGAAGGGCCAUCGCUCAACGGAUAAAAGCUACCCUGGGGAUAACAGGCUUAUCUCCCCCAAGAGUCCACAUCGACGGGGAGGUUUGGCACCUCGAUGUCGGCUCAUCACAUCCUGGGGCUGUAGUAGGUCCCAAGGGUUGGGCUGUUCGCCCAUUAAAGUGGUACGCGAGCUGGGUUCAGAACGUCGUGAGACAGUUCGGUCCCUAUCCGUCGCAGGCGUAGGAAAUUUGAGAAGACCUGUCCUUAGUACGAGAGGACCGGGAUGGACGUACCUCUGGUGUACCAGUUGUUCUGCCAAGGGCAUGGCUGGGUAGCUAUGUACGGAAUGGAUAAGCGCUGAAAGCAUCUAAGCGCGAAGCCAACUUCAAGAUAAGAUUUCCCACCGCAAGGGUAAGACCCCAGAAAGACUAUCUGGUUGAUAGGUCGAAGGUGUAAGUGCAGCAAUGUAUUUAGCUUAUCGAUACUAAUAG
This 815-nucleotide ribosomal RNA is filed under the name Clostridioides difficile. Its description in RNAcentral is "partial 23S ribosomal RNA". It matches the Rfam family "Bacterial large subunit ribosomal RNA", at positions 2091 to 2907 of the family's 2925-position model. The record is from RNAcentral. Lineage: Bacteria; Bacillati; Bacillota; Clostridia; Peptostreptococcales; Peptostreptococcaceae.